AACGAGCGCUGGCGGCAGGCCUAACACAUGCAAGUCGAACGCCCCGCCAGGGGAGUGGCAGACGGGUGAGUAACACGUGGGAACCUUCCCUAUAGUACGGAAUAGCCCAGGGAAACUUGGAGUAAUACCGUAUACGCCCGAAAGGGGAAAGAAUUUCGCUAUAGGAUGGGCCCGCGUAGGAUUAGCUAGUUGGUGAGGUAAUGGCUCACCAAGGCGACGAUCCUUAGCUGGUUUGAGAGAACGACCAGCCACACUGGGACUGAGACACGGCCCAGACUCCUACGGGAGGCAGCAGUGGGGAAUAUUGGACAAUGGGCGCAAGCCUGAUCCAGCCAUGCCGCGUGAGUGAUGAAGGCCUUAGGGUUGUAAAGCUCUUUUGGCGGGGACGAUAAUGACGGUACCCGCAGAAUAAGUCCCGGCUAACUUCGUG
Molecule: ribosomal RNA, 430 nt
Filed under: uncultured bacterium
Lineage: Bacteria
Description: partial 16S ribosomal RNA
Rfam family: Bacterial small subunit ribosomal RNA
Source: RNAcentral